AUUGAACGCUGGCGGCAUGCCUUACACAUGCAAGUCGAACGGCAGCACGGGGCAACCUGGUGGCGAGUGGCGAACGGGUGAGUAAUGCAUCGGAACGUGCCAUUGAGUGGGGGAUAACGUAGCGAAAGUUGCGCUAAUACCGCAUAUUCUGUGAGCAGGAAAGCAGGGGGACCGCAAGGCCUUGCGCUCUUUGAGCGGCCGAUGUCAGAUUAGCUAGUUGGUGAAGUAACGGCUUACCAAGGCGACGAUCUGUAGCGGGUCUGAGAGGAUGAUCCGCCACACUGGAACUGAGACACGGUCCAGACUCCUACGGGAGGCAGCAGUGGGGAAUUUUGGACAAUGGGCGCAAGCCUGAUCCAGCCAUGCCGCGUGAGUGAAGAAGGCC
RNAcentral lists this ribosomal RNA (385 nucleotides) under uncultured bacterium. RNAcentral describes it as "bacterial SSU rRNA". It matches the Rfam family "Bacterial small subunit ribosomal RNA", at positions 30 to 416 of the family's 1533-position model. The record is from RNAcentral.